CGGGAUGAUGAAGCCGAGAUAGGAAGUGCCGUCAGAUGCGACAACUGACGAAAGACUCCUCGUGGCUGACC
Molecule: small nucleolar RNA, 71 nt
Organism: Laticauda laticaudata (blue-ringed sea krait)
Lineage: Eukaryota; Metazoa; Chordata; Lepidosauria; Squamata; Elapidae
Source: Ensembl